This 497-nucleotide ribosomal RNA is filed under the name uncultured bacterium. RNAcentral describes it as "partial 16S ribosomal RNA". It matches the Rfam family "Bacterial small subunit ribosomal RNA", at positions 28 to 507 of the family's 1533-position model. The record is from RNAcentral.
GAUGAACGCUGGCGGCGUGCCUAAUACAUGCAAGUCGAGCGAACAGACGAGGAGCUUGCUCCUCUGACGUUAGCGGCGGACGGGUGAGUAACACGUGGAUAACCUACCUAUAAGACUGGGAUAACUUCGGGAAACCGGAGCUAAUACCGGAUAAUAUAUUUAACCGCAUGGUUCUAUAUUGAAAGACGGUUUUGCUGUCACUUAUAGAUGGAUCCGCGCCGCAUUAGCUAGUUGGUAAGGUAACGGCUUACCAAGGCAACGAUGCGUAGCCGACCUGAGAGGGAGAACGGCCACACGGGAACUGAGACACGGUCCAGACUCCUAAGGGAGGCAGCAGUAGGGAAUCUUACGCAAUGGGCGAGAGCCUGACGGAGCAACGCCGCGUGAGUGAUGAAGGUCUGCGGAUCGUAAAACGCUGUUAUUAGGGAAGAACAAAUGUGUAAGUAAAUAUGCACGAAUUGACGGUACCUAAUCAGAAAGCCACGGCUAAAUACGUG